GUAGCUGAUGGAUGGGGAAGCAGCAGCAGCAAGGGGAUGGGGAUACAUAUAGCGGCCCGGAUUAUAGUGAUGGAUGGGGAUACAUAUUACAUAUUACAACUAAUUAUACAUAUUACAGAUUCCUGGUAGCUGAUGGAUGGGGAUACAUAUUACAACUAAUUAUAGUGAUAUUAUUCUACAGGAUUGUGUUUCUUGUAGUUAUACUGAUAUUAAU
RNAcentral lists this long non-coding RNA (214 nucleotides) under Hordeum vulgare. RNAcentral's name for it is "long non-coding RNA (HVUL_LNC015922)". Lineage: Eukaryota; Viridiplantae; Streptophyta; Magnoliopsida; Poales; Poaceae. The record is from RNAcentral.